This 204-nucleotide small nuclear RNA is filed under the name Triticum aestivum (bread wheat). Its description in RNAcentral is "snRNA U2". It matches the Rfam family "U2 spliceosomal RNA". From Rfam's summary of the family: U2 is a small nuclear RNA (snRNA) component of the spliceosome (involved in pre-mRNA splicing). RNAcentral also lists the same sequence under 2 other names. The record is from Rfam by way of RNAcentral. Lineage: Eukaryota; Viridiplantae; Streptophyta; Magnoliopsida; Poales; Poaceae.
AUACCUUUCUCGGCCUCUUCGCUAAAAUUAAGUGUAGUAUCUGUUCUUGUCAGUUUAAUAUCUGAUACGUAGAUCUUCGGAUUCACAAUAUGAUAUUAAUUUAAUUUUGUUGAGGGGAGGAGGAACUGUAAAAUGUAGCUUGCUGAAUGGGUCCUCAUGUCUCGUCCAAGUGUUGCACUAUUGUUUGGAACAGGCACACCCCAA